This 305-nucleotide ribosomal RNA is filed under the name uncultured bacterium. RNAcentral's name for it is "bacterial SSU rRNA". It matches the Rfam family "Bacterial small subunit ribosomal RNA", at positions 338 to 658 of the family's 1533-position model. The record is from RNAcentral.
CCUACGGGGCGCAGCAGUGGGGAAUAUUGGGCAAUGGACGCAAGUCUGACCCAGCAACGCCGCGUGAAGGAAGAAGGCUUUCGGGUUGUAAACUUCUUUUAAGGGGGAAGAGCAGAAGACGGUACCCCUUGAAUAAGCCACGGCUAACUACGUGCCAGCAGCCGCGGUAAUACGUAGGUGGCAAGCGUUGUCCGGAUUUACUGGGUGUAAAGGGCGUGCAGCCGGGCCGACAAGUCAGAUGUGAAAUCCGCGGGCUUAACCCGCGAACUGCAUUUGAAACUAUUGGUCUUGAGUACCGGAGAGGU